GAUGAACGCUGGCGGCGUGCCUAAUACAUGCAAGUCGAGCGAACGGACGAUAAGCUUGCUUCUCUGAUGUUAGCGGCGGACGGGUGAGUAACACGUGGAUAACCUACCUAUAAGACUGGGAUAACUUCGGGAAACCGGAGCUAAUACCGGAUAAUAUUUUGAACCGCAUGGUUCAAAAGUGAAAGACGGUCUUGCUGUCACUUAUAGAUGGAUCCGCGCUGCAUUAGCUAGUUGGUAAGGUAACGGCUUACCAAGGCAACGAUGCAUAGCCGACCUGAGAGGGUGAUCGGCCACAUUGGAACUGAGACACGGUCCAGACUCCUACGGGAGGCAGCAGUAGGGAAUCUUCCGCAAUGGGCGAAAGCCUGACGGAGCAACGCCGCGUGAGUGAUGAAGGUCUUCGGAUCGUAAAACUCUGUUAUUAGGGAAGAACAGAUGUGUAAGUAACUGUGCACAUCUUGACGGUACCUAAUCAGAAAGCCACGGCUAACUACGUG
RNAcentral lists this ribosomal RNA (497 nucleotides) under uncultured bacterium. Its description in RNAcentral is "partial 16S ribosomal RNA". It matches the Rfam family "Bacterial small subunit ribosomal RNA", at positions 28 to 507 of the family's 1533-position model. The record is from RNAcentral.